Silurus meridionalis is the source of this 659-nucleotide long non-coding RNA. RefSeq lists it as uncharacterized. The record is from RefSeq and is a predicted model, not a curated record. NCBI's taxonomy places the organism in Eukaryota, Metazoa, Chordata, Actinopteri, Siluriformes, Siluridae. The transcript is spliced from 3 exons.
GCUAAAAGCAAAACACAGUUUCACACUUUCACCUUCCUGUUCACGCAGUUAAAAUCAGCUGCAGAAGGAAGCUGGGUUUCAAACACAUUAUGGAUUUAUCAUGCUGGAUUCAUGAAGCUGAGCUUAAUCCUUUGUUGUCAGACGUGAGCAGAAAGCCGUGUGUAGGCGUCAACUACACUAAUCCACCAGCAUGUAGCGCAAUUCCCGUUGGGUGAAGGUUAAAGUAUGCGAGAGACCCUGACAGCAGUAAUGAACACUUUACAUUCUGGCAUUUGAAAGGUUCAGACAAAAAUACUCCCAUCAUCAUCUUGUUAUAUUUGUUUCUAUGAUUUUCUGCUUUCAUUAUGGUCUAGUUUACUCCUGUCUAACAUGGCCUGGUACUGAGUUGUGCAGUUUAGUCUUUUCUAGUGUGGUUUGGUUGUUGUUUAUAAUUUACUAUUUUUGUGACUAUAUGCAUCUAGUCUUGUUUUGUUGCCUUAUUUUCAUCUUCCCUCUUAUAAGUGUAGACUGAUAUAAUUUAUCUAGUCUGGUCAUCAGAGUCUUGUGACAUCUAAUCUUUUCUUCUGUUAUAGCCUUUUGAUAUAUUCAGUAACCUUUAAAGUCUAAUAUAAUCUGGUCUCUAUUAUGGUUUUCUUGACUAGUCUGGCAUUGUCUUUAAA